AGCCAGAAGGAAGGAGGCUGCUCUCUAACAAAUCUAUCAUAGCUGCUGCUGCUCAGAUCUAGGUCAUAAAUGCCAGGACCUCUCGUGCAUACUGGGAGGGAGAGGGAGCUUUUAAAGACAGAGCAUGGUCAUGUUAAAGAAAGAUUUUCAACAGAGACUCCCGCCACAUUCCUUCAUGUAGAUAAAGAAAUGAAGCUAGGACGUGAUGAGAGAAACCAUGGAGGGAGCCCUGUGGACAGAUGUGGUAACAACAGACAUGGAAUAGAGAAUCAGUGGCGUAUUCUGUUUUAUCACCACUAUGAAAGGUCAGGGUUAUCCAGGGCAGAGGUGCCCAAAGAUGCAUCAUGACACAGCUUCAGGUGAUCCUCCGGCACAACUGCAUUCUUUAACUCCACGUGACCUGUGUAAUUUAAGUACAAGCUAUAUAAAUGUAAUGUUUUGAGCUGUAUAUGUUAGACAGAAUAUAGAAAAAAACUAUUUAAAAAAAAAAGAAGCUGCAACAUGUUAAGUUUAAUUCUCAAGAGUACAACGGUGCAUUUCACUGCAAGAUAACCUAGCAGCAUAUAUGCAGUCCACCAUUUACAACUCUAAAAAAAAUGGCAAGCAGUAUUGCAAUCUGACAUGGAUCGCUUUAUUUUUUGAAAAUGAGAAGGGUGCACUAGAGGAGAAGAAAAUGAAAGUCCUGGACCAUCUACAACUACACAAAAUGAACCGGCCGAAAAAAAUAAAGUGGUAAGAACAUAUGACCACACACACACGAAGCUUGGAUUCUCCUUUACCGGACUGGAUGAAUACCUGUUGCAUUAGUGUGUUAUAUUAUAACUUAUUUUAUAUUUUUAUUUGAUUAUUUUCUAACUAGUAGAGAGUAGGGUGGGGUCUUUACUUACACAGCACAUAAAUUCAGACUUCUAAAAAAACUGAAAAUAUAGUGUUCAAAGUUGGACAACUAUUUUGUUUUAAAAUCAACACCACACACUUUUUAAACAAUUUUG
Molecule: long non-coding RNA, 992 nt
Organism: Chelonia mydas (Green sea turtle)
Lineage: Eukaryota; Metazoa; Chordata; Testudines; Cheloniidae
Exons: 3
Source: RefSeq, a predicted model, not a curated record